GCCUCACUAGCUCAGCCUGGUUAGAGCGCCACUCUCAUAAGGUGGAGGUCGGGGGUUCAAAUCCCCCAUGAGGCA
Molecule: transfer RNA, 75 nt
Filed under: Candidatus Woesearchaeota archaeon
Lineage: Archaea; Nanobdellati; Candidatus Woesearchaeota
Description: tRNA-Met
Rfam family: tRNA
About the family: Transfer RNA (tRNA) molecules are approximately 80 nucleotides in length. Their secondary structure includes four short double-helical elements and three loops (D, anti-codon, and T loops). Further hydrogen bonds mediate the characteristic L-shaped molecular structure. tRNAs have two regions of fundamental functional importance: the anti-codon, which is responsible for specific mRNA codon recognition, and the 3' end, to which the tRNAs corresponding amino acid is attached (by aminoacyl-tRNA synthetases). tRNAs cope with the degeneracy of the genetic code in two manners: having more than one tRNA (with a specific anti-codon) for a particular amino acid; and 'wobble' base-pairing, i.e. permitting non-standard base-pairing at the 3rd anti-codon position.
Source: RNAcentral